ACCAGCCUAGCUCAGUUGGAAGAGCAUGUGACUCUUGAUCUCAGGGUCAUGGGUGUGAGCCCCAUGUUGGGUG
RNAcentral lists this transfer RNA (73 nucleotides) under Ailuropoda melanoleuca (giant panda). It matches the Rfam family "tRNA". Rfam says of the family: Transfer RNA (tRNA) molecules are approximately 80 nucleotides in length. Their secondary structure includes four short double-helical elements and three loops (D, anti-codon, and T loops). Lineage: Eukaryota; Metazoa; Chordata; Mammalia; Carnivora; Ursidae. The record is from Rfam by way of RNAcentral.